This is a ribosomal RNA of Erinaceus europaeus (western European hedgehog), 117 nucleotides long. Lineage: Eukaryota; Metazoa; Chordata; Mammalia; Eulipotyphla; Erinaceidae. The record is from Ensembl.
AUCUACAGCCAUACCACUUUGAACAUGCCCAAUCUCGUCUGAUCUCGGAAGCUAAGCAAGGUCGGAACUGGUUAGUAUUUGGAUGGGAGAAUCUCAAACAAGUUAGACACUGAGAGA